UUCCAUCGAGAAAUCCUCCUAGGGUCGUUUGCGCGCAAUCUUCCAUCGAGCGUCAUCUUCAAAUAGGUGUACAAAAAUUACACCUCAAACAGAGUACAUUCUGCUGAUCUGGUUUUGGGUGUUGCAAAUCUUCAUACUCCAGAAGCUGUGGCAGGUGCUGAAGCUACACUGGCUGGUUCUCACCCUAGAGGUUGGUGUAGGUGACACUUCAGGGGGAGUUAACCAGAUAUGUUUUUAUUUUUCUUUCUGGUAGCAUUUGGGUGUCUAAUUACCUGCUUGCC
Magnolia sinica is the source of this 281-nucleotide long non-coding RNA. RefSeq lists it as uncharacterized. The record is from RefSeq and is a predicted model, not a curated record. The transcript is spliced from 4 exons. Lineage: Eukaryota; Viridiplantae; Streptophyta; Magnoliopsida; Magnoliales; Magnoliaceae.